Long non-coding RNA from Daphnia magna, 837 nucleotides. RefSeq lists it as uncharacterized. The record is from RefSeq and is a predicted model, not a curated record. Lineage: Eukaryota; Metazoa; Arthropoda; Branchiopoda; Diplostraca; Daphniidae. The transcript is spliced from 2 exons.
UCAAGAGUCAGGUAACAUUAUUUAGUUUAAGGCUUUAUAUUUAAGCAAAAUUAUUACAUUUUAUUUACCAUAACAAUUAGAACCGACCACGGAGGAGAGAAUAUAGAAGUGGGGCGAUUCAUGAUCGAAGUUAGAGGGCCAAAUAGAGGGAGUUUUUUGACGGGGAAAUCUACCAGAAACACUCGUAUCGAAAGGAUGCGGGUUGAUGUGAAAAAGUAUGCCACUCAUCCUGUUAAGUUACUCUUUCAGUAAUAUGACGUCAUAAUUUACAUUUCUACAGCUAUAUAAUAUUUGAUCACUGAUCCAGGGAACUUCAGAGCUCUGGUUUGUUGGACGUAGGCGAUGAAACAGACAUUUAUUGUCUCCAAGUCGUCUUUAUUCCUCUGCUGCUGGUCAUUUUAAAUGAGAUGAUGGUGGCUUGGAAUUGCCAUUCAAUGCGAACAGCAAAAGGGACUUCCCCCAAUAAGCAAUUUCUCCAAAGUCUCUUUAAAUUACAGCAGCAAGGAAGAGAAUUUACGGAACUCAAACAGGACAUUGAAAUGCCCAUUGGUUUUGUCGUGGAAGACGUUCUAAGGGAAAACCAAGCUCAUGUUCCAGAGAUUGACAUUCCAGAAUUGAGUGAUGCAGAGAGGGAAAGGAUUUAUAGGCGUUACAGUGUGCCUAGUGACAGCACAUCAAAUCGUCUUGAAAUAGCAAGGACAAAUUACUUGCGUGCUCGCCGAUUCAUUCGUUUUUGUUUGGCUGCUGAGGGAAAUUGAAGGGUUCAAAAUAGCUGUACAACUCUUGUUCCGAAAUAACAGAUUGUCUAUCCAGGCAAUAAACCCUCAAAUAAUAGGA